AUUGAACGCUGGCGGCAGGCCUAACACAUGCAAGUCGAGCGGAUGAAGGGAGCUUGCUCCUGGAUUCAGCGGCGGACGGGUGAGUAAUGCCUAGGAAUCUGCCUGGUAGUGGGGGAUAACGUCCGGAAACGGGCGCUAAUACCGCAUACGUCCUGAGGGAGAAAGUGGGGGAUCUUCGGACCUCACGCUAUCAGAUGAGCCUAGGUCGGAUUAGCUAGUUGGUGGGGUAAAGGCCUACCAAGGCGACGAUCCGUAACUGGUCUGAGAGGAUGAUCAGUCACACGGGAACUGAGACACGGUCCAGACUCCUACGGGAGGCAGCAGUGGGAAAUAUUGGACAAUGGGCGAAGGCCUGAUCCAGCCAUGCCGCGUGUGAAGAAGGUCUUCGGAUUGUAAAGCACUUUAAGUUGGGAGGAAGGGCAGUAAGUUAAUACCUUGCUGUUUUGACGUUACCAACAGAAUAAGCACCGGCUAACUUCGUG
Molecule: ribosomal RNA, 482 nt
Filed under: uncultured bacterium
Lineage: Bacteria
Description: partial 16S ribosomal RNA
Rfam family: Bacterial small subunit ribosomal RNA
Source: RNAcentral